GACAGAGGGUGCAAACGUUGUUCGGAAUUACUGGGCGUAAAGCGCGUGUAGGCGGCUCUGCAAGUCGGAUGUGAAAUCCCACGGCUCAACCAUGGAAGUGCAUUCGAAACUGCAGGGCUAGAGUCCUGGAGAGGAAGGUGGAAUGCUUGGUGUAGAGGUGAAAUUCGUAGAUAUCAAGCGGAACACCGGUGGCGAAGGCGGCCUUCUGGACAGUGACUGACGCUGAGACGCGAAAGCGUGGGGAGCAAACAGG
This 253-nucleotide ribosomal RNA is filed under the name uncultured bacterium. Its description in RNAcentral is "partial 16S ribosomal RNA". It matches the Rfam family "Bacterial small subunit ribosomal RNA", at positions 524 to 776 of the family's 1533-position model. The record is from RNAcentral.